CAAUAGCGUAUAUUAAAGUUGUUGCGGUUCAAAAGCUCGUAGUUGGAUUUCUGUUGUGGGCAGCCGGUCCACACUAUGUGUGAGUAUCUGGUUUGACCACGGCAUCCUCGUGAGGAACGUUGGUGCGCUUCACUGCGUGGCGCGGUAUUCACGACUUUUACUUUGAGGAAAUUAGAGUGUUCACGGCAGGCGCCUGCCUUGAAUAUAUUAGCAUGGAAUAAUGAUAUAGGCAUGUGUGUCUAUUUUGUUUGGUUUCUUAGACGCACGUGAAUGAUUCAUAGGGACUGUUGGGGGCGAUUCGUAUUAUGACGUCAGAGGUGGAAUUCUUGGAUUGUCAUACGACGAACUACUGCGAAAGCAUUUGUCCAAGGAUGUUUUCAUUGAUCAAGAACGAAAGUAAGGGGAUCGAAGACGAUCAGAUACCAU
RNAcentral lists this ribosomal RNA (426 nucleotides) under uncultured eukaryote. Its description in RNAcentral is "bacterial SSU rRNA". It matches the Rfam family "Eukaryotic small subunit ribosomal RNA", at positions 592 to 1018 of the family's 1831-position model. The record is from RNAcentral.